Molecule: unclassified non-coding RNA, 336 nt
Filed under: soil metagenome
Description: partial contains 5.8S ribosomal RNA, internal transcribed spacer 2, and large subunit ribosomal RNA
Rfam family: 5.8S ribosomal RNA (bases 1-121)
Source: RNAcentral
GAUGAAGAACGUAGCGAAAUGCGAUAAGUAAUGCGAAUUGCAGAAUUCCAGUGAGUCAUCGAAUCUUUGAACGCACAUUGCGCCCAUUGGUAUUCCGAUGGGCAUGCCUGUUCGAGCGUCAUUUCAACCCUUAAGCCCUGUUGCUUAGCGUUGGGAGCCUACAGUACUGUAGCUCCCCAAAGUUAGUGGCGGAGUCGGUUUCACACUCUAGACGUAGUAAUUUUUUCUCGUCUGUAGUUGAGCCGGUCCCCUGCCGUAAAACACCCAAUUUAUCAAGGUUGACCUCGGAUCAGGUAGGAAUACCCGCUGAACUUAAGCAUAUCAAUAAGCGGAGGA